This 72-nucleotide transfer RNA is filed under the name Berkelbacteria bacterium GW2011_GWE1_39_12. RNAcentral's name for it is "tRNA-Thr". It matches the Rfam family "tRNA". From Rfam's summary of the family: Transfer RNA (tRNA) molecules are approximately 80 nucleotides in length. Their secondary structure includes four short double-helical elements and three loops (D, anti-codon, and T loops). The record is from RNAcentral. Lineage: Bacteria; Candidatus Berkelbacteria.
GCCCGGAUAGCUCAGUGGUAGAGCAGUUCCUUCGUAAGGAAAAGGUCGGAGGUUCAAAUCCUCUUCCGGGCU